GGAGUUAGCCGGUGCUUCUUCUGUGAGUGAUGUCCUUCCUGCCGGUUAUUGACCCGCAGGCCUUCUUCCUCACUGAAAGUGCUUUACAACCCGAAGGCCUUCUUCACACACGCGGCAUGGCUGGAUCAGGGUUGCCCCCAUUGUCCAAUAUUCCCCACUGCUGCCUCCCGUAGGAGUCUGGGCCGUGUCUCAGUCCCAGUGUGGCUGAUCAUCCUCUCAGACCAGCUACGGAUCGUCGCCUUGGUGAGCCGUUACCUCACCAACCAGCUAAUCCGACAUAGGCUCAUCCGAUAGCGCGAGGCCCGAAGGUCCCCCGCUUUCCCCCGUAGGGCGUAUAGCGGUAUUAGCCUGGGUUUCCCCAGGUUAUCCCCCACUACCGGGCAGAUUCCUAUGCAUUACUCACCCGUCCGCCGCUCGCCACCAGGGAGCAAGCUCCCCGUGCUGCCGCUCGACUUGCAUGUGUUAGGCCUGCCGCCAGCGUUCAAUCUGAGCCAGAGCGACCCUAGA
RNAcentral lists this ribosomal RNA (507 nucleotides) under uncultured bacterium. RNAcentral's name for it is "partial 16S ribosomal RNA". The record is from RNAcentral.